RNAcentral lists this ribosomal RNA (43 nucleotides) under Coccomyces circinatus. RNAcentral's name for it is "partial 28S ribosomal RNA". Lineage: Eukaryota; Fungi; Ascomycota; Leotiomycetes; Rhytismatales; Rhytismataceae. The record is from RNAcentral.
CUCGGAUCAGGUAGGGAUACCUGCCGAACUUAAGCAUAUCAAU